This is a long non-coding RNA of Thalassophryne amazonica, 237 nucleotides long. RefSeq lists it as uncharacterized. NCBI's taxonomy places the organism in Eukaryota, Metazoa, Chordata, Actinopteri, Batrachoidiformes, Batrachoididae. The record is from RefSeq and is a predicted model, not a curated record. The transcript has 3 exons.
UGGAAGACCCGCCCCCGGCGAACGGACUUGCUCUUCUCCCGACGACAAGGAGAGAGAGGGCUGGAAUGAAAUACAACUCCCUCAACUGCAGCAGGAGAGAGUGGUGUUACCAUUGCGGAUAAACUCAGGAGCUAACCAGUCACCAACUCCACGUAGGUUUGAUGACAACACACAGACCCAGUGUAGACAUGCAGCCGUUGUUGGUGAUUAAAGAAGAAACUCUCCCUGAACACCAGG